This 301-nucleotide ribosomal RNA is filed under the name uncultured bacterium. RNAcentral describes it as "partial 16S ribosomal RNA". It matches the Rfam family "Bacterial small subunit ribosomal RNA", at positions 509 to 807 of the family's 1533-position model. The record is from RNAcentral.
CAGUAGCCACGGUAAUACGUAGGGUGCAAGCGUUAAUCGGAAUUACUGGGCGUAAAGCGUGCGCAGGCGGUUUUGUAAGACAGAGGUGAAAUCCCCGGGCUCAACCUGGGAACUGCCUUUGUGACUGCAAGGCUAGAGUACGGCAGAGGGGGAUGGAAUUCCGCGUGUAGCAGUGAAAUGCGUAGAUAUGCGGAGGAACACCGAUGGCGAAGGCAAUCCCCUGGGCCUGUACUGACGCUUAUGCACGAAAGCGUGGGGAGCAAACAGGAUUAGAUACCCCUGUAGUCCCUGUCUCUUAUAC